GAUGAACGCUGGCGGCGUGCCUAAUACAUGCAAGUCGAGCGAACAGACGAGGAGCUUGCUCCUCUGACGUUAGCGGCGGACGGGUGAGUAACACGUGGAUAACCUACCUAUAAGACUGGGAUAACUUCGGGAAACCGGAGCUAAUACCGGAUAAUAUAUUGAACCGCAUGGUUCAAUAGUGAAAGACGGUUUUGCUGUCACUUAUAGAUGGAUCCGCGCCGCAUUAGCUAGUUGGUAAGGUAACGGCUUACCAAGGCAACGAUGCGUAGCCGACCUGAGAGGGUGAUCGGCCACACUGGAACUGAGACACGGUCCAGACUCCUACGGGAGGCAGCAGUAGGGAAUCUUACGCAAUGGGCGAAAGCCUGACGGAGCAACGCCGCGUGAGUGAUGAAGGUCUUCGGAUCGUAAAACUCUGUUAUUAGGGAAGAACAAAUGUGUAAGUAAAUAUGCACGUAUUGACGGUACCUAAUCAGAAAGCCACGGCUAACUACGUG
This 497-nucleotide ribosomal RNA is filed under the name uncultured bacterium. Its description in RNAcentral is "partial 16S ribosomal RNA". It matches the Rfam family "Bacterial small subunit ribosomal RNA", at positions 28 to 507 of the family's 1533-position model. The record is from RNAcentral.